RNAcentral lists this ribosomal RNA (484 nucleotides) under uncultured bacterium. RNAcentral describes it as "partial 16S ribosomal RNA". It matches the Rfam family "Bacterial small subunit ribosomal RNA", at positions 30 to 507 of the family's 1533-position model. The record is from RNAcentral.
AUUGAACGCUGGCGGCAGGCCUAACACAUGCAAGUCGAGCGGAUGAAGGGAGCUUGCUCCUGGAUUCAGCGGCGGACGGGUGAGUAAUGCCUAGGAAUCUGCCUGGUAGUGGGGGAUAACGUCCGGAAACGGGCGCUAAUACCGCAUACGUCCUGAGGGAGAAAGUGGGGGAUCUUCGGACCUCACGCUAUCAGAUGAGCCUAGGUCGGAUUAGCUAGUUGGUGGGGUAAAGGCCUACCAAGGCGACGAUCCGUAACUGGUCUGAGAGGAUGAUCAGUCACACUGGAACUGAGACACGGCCCAGACUCCGACGGGAGGGAGCAGUGGGGAAUAUUGGACAAUGGGCGAAAGCCUGAUCCAGCCAUGCCGCGUGUGUGAAGAAAGUCUUCGGAUUGUAAAGCACUUUAAGUGGGGAGGAAGGGCAGUAAGUUAAUACCUUGCUGUUUUGACGUUACCAACAGAAUAAGCACCGGCUAACUUCGUG